GCAUCACUUUGCCCUCAACCCCAUUUUCCGGCACUACACCAAGUUCUUUCUGAAGGAGAUCCUGCGUUUAGGCUUUAAAUCCUGUCUCUACUACCGUGUUUACCCAAAAUCCAGAGAAGGCAAGUUCCAGAACCCCUACGCCCACUCCCUGACAUCUGCCCUUCAUUACUUGGUUCCCGUGCGACCACGACGACAGAUUGUCUAUCCUCUGGAAAAGCUUGGCAUAAACGCUCCAUCAAAGGCGGUCUCCAAGGAUCCGAUGAGUUAUGCUUUAAACCAUACAAACAGAAAACUAACAUUGGAACCUAAAAUUACUGUAAAUGCCAAGAUCAUUGUGGUUGGUGCAUCCAGUGUUGGAAUUUCCUUCCUAGAGACAUUGGUAUUUUGCCACUGUUUUAAUGAUAAAGAUUAUGCACUGAUGUCACUGUGCUCCUGGGUUAAUGUCGUGGUGGGUAGAAUGACCGGCAUAGACCGAGCAGCCAAGCACGUUGUGCUUUCGACGGACAAGAUCGUGCCCUACGACCACCUCAUCCUCUGCACCGGGCAGCAGUACCAG
This 556-nucleotide small RNA is filed under the name Pan troglodytes (chimpanzee). RNAcentral describes it as "processed transcript". The record is from RNAcentral. Lineage: Eukaryota; Metazoa; Chordata; Mammalia; Primates; Hominidae.